This 387-nucleotide ribosomal RNA is filed under the name uncultured bacterium. Its description in RNAcentral is "bacterial SSU rRNA". It matches the Rfam family "Bacterial small subunit ribosomal RNA", at positions 30 to 419 of the family's 1533-position model. The record is from RNAcentral.
AUUGAACGCUGGCGGAAUGCUUUACACAUGCAAGUCGAACGGCAGCACGGGGCAACCUGGUGGCGAGUGGCGAACGGGUGAGUAAUACAUCGGAACGUGCCCAAUCGUGGGGGAUAACGUAGCGAAAGUUACGCUAAUACCGCAUACGAUCUACGGAUGAAAGCGGGGGAUCGCAAGACCUCGCGCGAUUGGAGCGGCCGAUGUCAGAUUAGGUAGUUGGUGGGGUAAAGGCUCACCAAGCCGACGAUCUGUAGCUGGUCUGAGAGGACGACCAGUCACACUGGGACUGAGACACGGCCCAGACUCCUACGGGAGGCAGCAGUGGGGAAUUUUGGACAAUGGGCGCAAGCCUGAUCCAGCCAUUCCGCGUGCAGGAUGAAGGCCUUC